AGUGGGAGGUCCUUUGGACGAAACAAGCAGCCCAAAACGAGCGCGCGGCCAUGUUGAAUUGUCGAUAAUCCGAAAGAAGAGACAAAAGAGUGAAAACUCGGUGGAUUUCUCGAAACAGCGAGUAUUUACCGAACUUAAUUAAACUGUCGACGAAACGUUAAGCAACGACGCAACAGGGAAGAUUGUUGGUGGAUGUAGCAAAGUGUAACCUGGAGUUUUUGUUGGUCGGCAAUUCCCAAAGCACUUUGCAGACUGUCAUCUCAAACGUUUGCUGCACAAGUAAACGCAACUGGAACAAGAUAACCACAUACAUUUAAACUGGACUGUUCAUGUUAAAGACACAAUUGCUGGAGUUACUUUUUUGAGCCCCAGCAAAGACGUUUGAAGAAUUUUUGAUGUCAAAGGAACAAAUCGUAACAGUCAGACGUGACGAAGCAGAUCAUAUUUUACUACUGGUCAUUUUGAAUGUAUAAACAAAGCACUUGGACCUAAAAAGCCAAGAUACUCGAAGGGCACAAAAAGAAAAUUCUGGAUCAUCGUUACAGCAGGAUAAGAGUACUCUAACAAACGAUUUUGAAACAAGAGUAUGUUUUGGUCACAUAAUUGAUUUAUUUAUUCAUAUGAAUGUUAUUUCUCCCUUUUUCGGAGAGUUGUCUUGUAAAUAGACAGAAUUCAUAAGCAGACCUCUUCUUUUCAAGAGGCCUGGACGUCAGAUUGUGUACACAAUACAUUCUUUA
Etheostoma spectabile (orangethroat darter) is the source of this 737-nucleotide long non-coding RNA. RefSeq lists it as uncharacterized. NCBI's taxonomy places the organism in Eukaryota, Metazoa, Chordata, Actinopteri, Perciformes, Percidae. The record is from RefSeq and is a predicted model, not a curated record. The transcript is spliced from 2 exons.